Molecule: long non-coding RNA, 334 nt
Filed under: Capsicum annuum
Lineage: Eukaryota; Viridiplantae; Streptophyta; Magnoliopsida; Solanales; Solanaceae
Description: long non-coding RNA (CANN_LNC001733)
Source: RNAcentral
UCGGGGUAAGGAUAAAGUAAUUCUAGUUACUAAAACCAAGUGAAAACCAUCCAAUGCACACAACCAUACAUAUAUAUAUAAGUGCUGGGAAAAGGGACCAGGUUGAGCAUGCCAUUUAAAACCUUAACUUGGGUUGUGUAGCUUAGACGUCCUACCACCCACGGGCCAUAUGGGUUUAGUUCCCCUUGCUAAAAGGUUCCUAAUACGUGUAGCCACACGACCAGGCAAUAACCUUGGGAUGACCAAUACAUCCCAAUAAUUUAAAUGAGACACUAGCAUGUGGCCAUUGAAGACCCCUCAUAUCGGCAAAUAUAAGAUUCGGGUUUUUAUCCCC